RNAcentral lists this ribosomal RNA (368 nucleotides) under uncultured organism. RNAcentral's name for it is "bacterial SSU rRNA". It matches the Rfam family "Bacterial small subunit ribosomal RNA", at positions 526 to 896 of the family's 1533-position model. The record is from RNAcentral.
CGAAGGAUCCAAGCGUUGUCCGGAUUUACUGGGUUUAAAGGGUGCGUAGGCGGACUUUUAAGUCAGUGGUGAAAGCCUGUAGCUUAACUAUAGAAUUGCCAUUGAAACUGAAAGUCUCGAGUGUGGUUGAGGUAACUGGAAUAUAUCAUGUAGCGGUGAAAUGCUUAGAUAUGAUAUAGAACACCAAUUGCGAAGGCAGGUUACUGAGCCAUUACUGACGCUGAGGCGCGAAAGCGUGGGGAUCAAACAGGAUUAGAUACCCUGGUAGUCCACGCCGUAAACGUUGCAUACUCGAUCUUAGCGAUACACAGUUAGGAUCCAAGCGAAAGCGUUAAGUAUGCCACCUGGGAAGUACGAUCGCAAGAUUG